GAUGAACGCUGGCGGUGUGCCUAAUACAUGCAAGUCGUACGCAUUCUCGUUUCUGAUUGACAGUGCUUGCACCUAAUUGACGAGACAUUGGAAUGAGUGGCGGACGGGUGAGUAACACGUGGGUAACCUGCCCAGAAGCGGGGGAUAACAUUUGGAAACAGAUGCUAAUACCGCAUAAAAGUCAAAACCACAUGGUUUUGAUUUAAAAGAUGGCCUUUGUGCUAUCACUUCUGGAUGGACCCGCGGCGUAUUAGCUAGUUGGUAAGGUAAUGGCUUACCAAUGCAAUGAUACGUAGCCGAACUGAGAGGUUGAUCGGCCACAAUGGGACUGAGACACGGCCCAUACUCCUACGGGAGGCAGCAGUAGGGAAUCUUCCACAAUGGGCGCAAGCCUGAUGGAGCAACACCGCGUGAGUGAAGAAGGGUUUCGGCUCGUAAAACUCUGUUGUUAAAGAAGAACGUAUCUAAGAGUAACUGCUUAGGUAGUGACGGUAUUUAACCAGAAAGCCACGGCUAACUACGUGCCAGCAGCCGCAGUAA
This 540-nucleotide ribosomal RNA is filed under the name uncultured bacterium. Its description in RNAcentral is "partial 16S ribosomal RNA". It matches the Rfam family "Bacterial small subunit ribosomal RNA", at positions 28 to 523 of the family's 1533-position model. The record is from RNAcentral.